GCAGCCGUAGCCUACUGGUUAGCGCUUCGGACUUGUAACCGGAGGGUUGCUGGUUCAAACCCCGAAGAAGGCA
RNAcentral lists this transfer RNA (73 nucleotides) under Alosa alosa (allis shad). RNAcentral's name for it is "tRNA-OTHER". The record is from RNAcentral. Lineage: Eukaryota; Metazoa; Chordata; Actinopteri; Clupeiformes; Clupeidae.